AUUGAACGCUGGCGGCAGGCCUAACACAUGCAAGUCGAGCGGAUGAAGGGUGCUUGCUCCUGGAUUCAGCGGCGGACGGGUGAGUAAUGCCUAGGAAUCUGCCUGGUAGUGGGGGAUAACGUCCGGAAACGGGCGCUAAUACCGCAUACGUCCUGAGGGCGAAAGUGUGGGAUCUUCGGACCUCACGCUCUCAGAUGAGCCUAUGUCGGAUUAGCUAGUUGGUGGGGUAAAGGCCUACCAAGGCGACGAUCCGUAACUGGUCUGAGAGGAUGAUCAGUCACACUGGAACUGAGACACGGUCCAGACUCCUACGGGAGGCAGCAGUGGGGAAUAUUGGACAAUGGGCGCAAGCCUGAUCCAGCCAUGCCGCGUGUGUGAAGAAGGUCUUCGGAUUGUAAAGCACUUUAAGUUGGGAGGAAGGGCAGUAAGUUAAUACCUUGCUGUUUUGACGGUACCAACAGAAUAAGCACCGGCUAACUUCGUG
This 484-nucleotide ribosomal RNA is filed under the name uncultured bacterium. RNAcentral's name for it is "partial 16S ribosomal RNA". It matches the Rfam family "Bacterial small subunit ribosomal RNA", at positions 30 to 507 of the family's 1533-position model. The record is from RNAcentral.